RNAcentral lists this ribosomal RNA (409 nucleotides) under uncultured bacterium. RNAcentral describes it as "bacterial SSU rRNA". It matches the Rfam family "Bacterial small subunit ribosomal RNA", at positions 97 to 520 of the family's 1533-position model. The record is from RNAcentral.
GGCGAACGGGUGAGUAACACGUGAGGAACCUGCCCUGGACUUUGGGAUAACCCUCGGAAACGGGGGCUAAUACCAGAUACGACACUUCACCGCAUGGUGUGGGUGUGGAAAGUUUUUCGGUCUGGGAUGGUCUCGCGGCCUAUCAGCUUGUUGGUGGGGUAAUGGCCUACCAAGGCGACGACGGGUAGCCGGCCUGAGAGGGCGACCGGCCACACUGGGACUGAGACACGGCCCAGACUCCUACGGGAGGCAGCAGUGGGGAAUAUUGCACAAUGGGCGGAAGCCUGAUGCAGCGACGCCGCGUGAGGGAUGACGGCCUUCGGGUUGUAAACCUCUUUCAGCAGGGACGAAGCGCAAGUGACGGUACCUGCAGAAGAAGCGCCGGCCAACUACGUGCCAGCAGCCGCGG